UUUCCGUAGGUGAACCUGCGGAAGGAUCAUUAAUGAGUUGUCAUGGGGUUCGAUGCUGGCAGCCAAUUUUUGGAUGCAUGUGCUUGCCCUAACAAUCAUCUUCCAAACACCUGUGCACAUUUUUGAGGGAGUCUUGAGUUGGUUGCCGCUCUUGGGUGAUUUUCUCACAUUCCCUUAAAUCAUUAUACGCUAUUAACAAUGUUGAACGUGCUCUGUGCCGCAAGGCUAUUAAUAUAAUACAACUUUUAACAAUGGAUCUCUUGGCUCUC
Molecule: unclassified non-coding RNA, 269 nt
Filed under: plant metagenome
Description: partial contains small subunit ribosomal RNA, internal transcribed spacer 1, and 5.8S ribosomal RNA
Source: RNAcentral